This 442-nucleotide ribosomal RNA is filed under the name uncultured bacterium. RNAcentral's name for it is "partial 16S ribosomal RNA". It matches the Rfam family "Bacterial small subunit ribosomal RNA", at positions 338 to 795 of the family's 1533-position model. The record is from RNAcentral.
CCUACGGGUGGCUGCAGUGGGGAAUAUUGGGCAAUGGGCGCAAGCCUGACCCAGCAACGCCGCGUGAAGGAUGAAGGCUUUCGGGUUGUAAACUUCUUUUAAGAGGGAAGAGCAGAAGACGGUACCACUUGAAUAACCUACGGCUAACCACGUGCCAGCAGCCGCGGUAAUACGGAGGUGGCAAGCGUUGUCCGGAUUUAGUGGGUGUAAAGGGUGUGCAGCCGGGAAGGCAAGUCAGAUGUGAAAUCCCGCGGCUCAACCGCGGAACUGCAUUUGAGACUGUUUUUCUUGAGUACCGGAGAGGUUGUCGGAAUUCCUGGUGUAGCGGUGAAAUGCGUAGAUAUAAGGAAGAACACCAGUGGCGAAGGCGGAUGACUGGACGGCAACUGACGGUGAGGCGCGAAAGCGUGGGGAGCAAACAGGAUUAGAUACCCGAGUAGUC